This 311-nucleotide ribosomal RNA is filed under the name uncultured bacterium. RNAcentral describes it as "bacterial SSU rRNA". It matches the Rfam family "Bacterial small subunit ribosomal RNA", at positions 8 to 335 of the family's 1533-position model. The record is from RNAcentral.
AGAGUUUGAUCAUGGCUCAGGAUGAACGCUAGCGGCAGGCUUAACACAUGCAAGUCGAGGGGCAUCGCGGGGUAGCAAUACUCUGGCGGCGACCGGCGGAAGGGUGCGUAACGCGUGAGCAACUUGCCCGUCACUGGGGGAUAGGCACUGGAAACGGUGUAAUACUCCAUACAUAUGGAUUCACAUGGAUUUAUAUGAAAGAUCCUGGUGACCGAUGGCUCGGUAACAUUACUGCGGGGGGUAACCCACCGAGGCUCGAUGUUAGGGUUCUUAGGAAGGACCCCCACACUGGAAACUGAGACACGGCCACA